UAGGGAAUAUUGGACAAUGGAGGCAACUCUGAUCCAGCCAUGCCGCGUGAAGGAAUAAGGCCCUAUGGGUUGUAAACUUCUUUUAGACGGGACAAAACCCCUUUACGUGUAAAGGGUUGAUGGUACUGUCAGAAUAAGCAUCGGCUAACUUCGUGCCAGCAGCCGCGGUAAUACGAAGGACCCAAGCGUUGUCCGGAUUUACUGGGUGUAAAGGGUGCGCAGGCGGAUGGGUAAGUCAGGGGUGAAAGUCUGCAGCUUAACUGUAGAAUUGCCUUUGAUACUGCUCAUCUUGAGUGUGGGAGAGGUUGAUGGAAUUCCAGGUGUAGCAGUGAAAUGCGUAGAUAUCUGGAAGAACACCAGUGGCGAAGGCGGUCAACUGGCCCAUAACUGACGCUCAUGCACGAAAGCGUGGGGAGCAAACA
RNAcentral lists this ribosomal RNA (422 nucleotides) under uncultured bacterium. RNAcentral describes it as "bacterial SSU rRNA". It matches the Rfam family "Bacterial small subunit ribosomal RNA", at positions 355 to 774 of the family's 1533-position model. The record is from RNAcentral.